UGGGGAAUAUUGCGCAAUGGGGGCAACCCUGACGCAGCAAUGCCGCGUGAAGGAUGAAGGUUUUCGGAUUGUAAACUUCUUUUAUCAAGGACGAAGAAUUGACGGUACUUGAUGAAUAAGCCACGGCUAACUACGUGCCAGCAGCCGCGGUAAUACGUAGGUGGCAAGCGUUGUCCGGAUUUACUGGGUGUAAAGGGCGAGUAGGCGGGAUUGCAAGUCAGAUGUGAAAUGCCGGGGCUUAACCCCGGAGCUGCAUUUGAAACUGUAGUUCUUGAGUAUCGGAGAGGCAGGCGGAAUUCCCGG
This 303-nucleotide ribosomal RNA is filed under the name uncultured bacterium. RNAcentral describes it as "bacterial SSU rRNA". It matches the Rfam family "Bacterial small subunit ribosomal RNA", at positions 355 to 673 of the family's 1533-position model. The record is from RNAcentral.